Molecule: long non-coding RNA, 269 nt
Filed under: Medicago truncatula (barrel medic)
Lineage: Eukaryota; Viridiplantae; Streptophyta; Magnoliopsida; Fabales; Fabaceae
Description: lncRNA gene33552
Source: RNAcentral
GCUCUCUAUUUGCUUCGUCUCUCUUUCUCUGAUCUACGAAUUCUUCGAUCUUCCUCAUAGCUUCUUCUCUUUCUCUGAUACGAGCCCGUGAUCUUCCAUCGCUUUGCUUCACUCUUCGCAUCUUGCUUCCAUGGCCUGAAUUUCUCAUAGAUCAGACAUGGCAGAAGGAAAUCAGAUACAACAUGGGUUGAUAUUUCCUAGGGAGCGCCCACAAAUGGGUGACAAUGUUGAUCUCAACCCCUUUCCUCAUCAAUUGGUUGCCCCUAUAA